UCAAUGAUAAAAAUGUUAGUCCAACUGAAAAAUCCCAACGUCUUCUAUAUGUUAACUUACCAAUUCACAACACUAAAAGAACUUGAGCAAAGUGAGUAAAUGAAGUUCCCAUUACACUGGGAAAAAAAUAAUGUACAAAAAAAAUUCAUAUACACCCAUUACUACUAUUUUUGAAUAGAGAAAACUACAGCUAUAAUUACCACAUACAAUAACUAAUAAAAAACACCAUUUAUUCCCAACAAUCUUGUCUGCAUUUUUAAAACACACAUGUUCGAACAGGCCAUCCUCCACAACCUCAUUCACAUUUCCAACCCCUUGCAAAUUAACAUUAUUUGAGCUCAACAUAGAUGUCAUAUUGUUGUCCUCCAUGCAUCUCCGGUUGUGUCCUGUCACCUAUAAAAUGAAUACCUUAGACUAAUUAAUAAAAAGCCUAUACAAUAAUUGUUGGUAGAGAUUUUGUUUUAUGUUUUUGAUGCAUUUGCUUAAUUGAUUUGUAUGAUAAUAGUUUGUUUGUUAGGAUGUUGCAACAUAUUCACAAUUAUGUAUAUGGUACAAAUGACACGUAUUUGUAUGUUAUUUGCAGGGUGUACUACUUGGAUUAAGGGGAGAGAUGGAAGAUGUGCUAACUGAUAUUCCUCCUCCUUCAAGGUUCUUCUUGGAAGAUCUCAACAAUUUUGCUCCAUCUCCAACUCCUCUUCCAUCUCCCUUCAUAUUGUUCUCUAUCUCUAAUCCUAAGAAACCACUCUGUCCCUCUCUUCUAAUUAUUGCGUUGUCCUCUUCAUCUCUUCACUUCUUACACCAUCUGUCUUCCAAAGUCCUAAUUGGAACUUUAGUCCUCCCUGAAAUUCCCUUCACAGGCAAUUCAGUAGAACAGUCUCUUGUAGACAAAUCUUGCAACAUUUAUACCCUAAAUGUUGCUGAUAAGCUUCUUUACACUUUUGUGUUUCUUCUCCUUACAUUAUUUUUCUAAUAAAUCCUCCUACACAUACACAGUACAUUACUUGAAAAAUCAAACUUUAACGUAAGCUAUACAAAACUAAUAAAUGGCGUUGGAAACUCCAUAAUUCCAACAAAAUUAACAAAUCCACAUGUCAAAUAGCCAAUAAGUCCAACACAGUUGGCUAAAAUAAAUUAAGUGAACUCCUUAGUGCAAAAAACAAUUCCACAUGAAAUAACAUAAAAAAAAUAGCAUAAAAAAAUCAGACAGCAUAUUAGGAUGGAAAGAAUGGAUUCUUGGCACAUACCUAAAGAAAAAUGAUUACUUUACAAUGUUCUAUUUUGUUUCCCAAUAUACCUUAAAGGUCUAACGUUUCAAACAAACAAAAGGGUGAUACAGUCAGAUUAAACAACUAAUACAUUCAUAUGUGAAAUAGAUAACUUAAUUUACGAAGUCCCAGGACAAAGAGAUACAAUCUUAGCAUUAAUAAUCACUCUCGCAACUGAUGUUCAAGCUCGUAAGGUCUAGUUCACAAUGUUCAGUUGGCAAAAUUCCUUAGUUUCCUGUUUUGUAAAAAGGAGUCAUAGACACAAUGCAUAGUUUGGAAAGUUUAAUGAACGCAAAAUGUAUUCAUGACUAAAGCAAUCAUCUAAACCCCCUUAUUUAUAUUCUUAAUAUAAAUGUUUGUGAUGUUAUGCACAUGCAUAAGGAUAAGAGAAUGAAUAGGUUAAGCCACCCCCAUCAUUUCUUUAUGAAUGGGUUAAAGAUAUAAGUUAGAAUGAAAAUUAUUUAUAAAAAAAUAUAUCUUCUUGAGGAAUUGAAAGGAGAAAGAACCCCAUAUGUGUGACCAACAGCUCACCCAAAAGCCUUCAGCAUAUGAUAAGAGUAUCAACUAAUAAUAAAACUUCUAAGACAUUAGAUUCUUAUUUUUGUUGAACAUCAUGUAUUAUAUGAUAAAUAAAAUUAGCAAACAUAAUUAAUAAGUAAAACUCAAAAAGUUUUGUUAAUUUUUAUAACCAAACAUCUUAAAGGUGAAAGAUGAACAAAUCCUAGAGUUUGAAACUCUUGGAUUAUUGUAGAAGAACAAUAUAUACCUGAUCUGCGCUUGAGGCCCGAGAAAUUGAAGCAUAUAAUAUUAUCGAGCCUAAUCCCUGUCCGACUUCGUAUUCAUUUGUCCUACAAAAGAUGUUUAGGAUAAAUCAGAGAUAAAUAAUGAGAGAUUUGGGAUGCAUCAAAUCUCAGUACUGGAAAAGAUCUAGGGAGGGAGUAAUUUACCUUAGCGUUUGAGCUCCUUCUCGCAAUCGCACUUAAAGGUUGGGAAAGAUGGGGAUUCAAGCCUUUCCAAAAGUUAGCUAGCGAGAGGUAGGUUCUUAUUUUCUUCUAUAAUAAUCUUUUAUGGGCGUAGUUUAUGUUAUUUCAACAGCCACAACCACGACAGAGGCCGCACUGGAAAGCAUACAGUUUCACAGAAGAAUAAAUAAAAAAAUUUAAAAAAAAAAGAACACAGGAAGUACUGUAUUUAAAAAUACAACACAUACACAGUAUACCAAAAGUAACAGUGAGAAGGACGCUCUUAUGAGAUGGAAUGCAGAGCUAAAAAUGUCAAAACAAAAGCUAGACUUUUAUCCACAUUCUCACCCGAAACUACUUUCUACAAUUUCGAAUUUCUGACCAGCAUUUCAGCUUCUUUCUCUACAACUCAAUCACAAUAAAAAGGGGAAUCAUGCAUGUCAACUGUCAAUUAGAUGGCAGGAACAUACAAUAAUCCAGCUUCUAAAAUGGAAUGCAGGGAAAACAGUUCCUAUAGGUGUAGCAAAAAACCCAAAAUUGGUUUAUAUGCCAAGAAUUUAAAUAGAUGUACCACGCGAAUAUCCAUAAACAGACCACAAAGUUUAGAAUGUUACAAAUUUUUCUCCUAUGUUUCUCUUUGGUUCGCAUAUCGCUCCAUUAUAUACCUCAAUUAAAAUAACCAAGAAUUCCUAAAACAAAUAAUUACUCAUCACCCAAUAUUAACUUUUCAAUUUGAAAAAUUCCCACUUCACAAACACACACAUUGUUACAUAUUUACACUUACACAUCACCAUUUAGACNNNNNNNNNNNNNNNNNNNNNNNNNNNNNNNNNNNNNNNNNNNNNNNNNNNNNNNNNNNNNNNNNNNNNNNNNNNNNNNNNNNNNNNNNNNNNNNNNNNNNNNNNNNNNNNNNNNNNNNNNNNNNNNNNNNNNNNNNNNNNNNNNNNNUAAACACAUGAACAUAUAAAAACCCAAAACUAACAAAUCAAAGAAUUAAUUAGAUUGAAAAGAGAGAGUGAUAAAGGGGAAAUUACCCGGGCAACAUCAAUGGGUUGAUUGAGUUCACCAGGAUUAAUAUCCUGCAAUGAAACUUGGUCCUUGGUGAGCUUAACAUAAGACCCCUCCGCCAUUUCUUUCAAUUGAAAUUGUCGCCUGAUAUAUACCACAAAACAAAAAACAGAAAAGGAUCGGUCGAAAUAACCCUAAUUUGUGAAAUAAGAACUGACAAAAUAUGCAUGGGGUAAAUAUGAAUGGAAGGACCAACCGAAAAAGGAGAAAUGAGAGGAGCAAAAGGAGAAGAAUGAAGAUGAGAAGGAGAAAAACGAUUUGGUUAAUUGAGAAGAUGGAAGAGUGGGGAAGUUGAAGGGGAAGGGGAAGGGGAAGGGAAAGAAACGGAAAGUGGAACAAAAAGAAGAAUGAAGAUGAGAAGGAGAAAAACGAUUUGGUUAAUUGAGAAGAUGGAAGAGUGGGGAAGGGGAAGGGGAAGGGAAGGGGAAGGGGAAGGGGAAGAAGAGACGGUCGAUUUUGUGGAUUGAUGGAUGGAAUUGGUUCCAAAUUCGCGAGUUAUUCAAUUGACUGAGUUAAUUUUU
RNAcentral lists this long non-coding RNA (3816 nucleotides) under Panax ginseng (ginseng). RNAcentral describes it as "long non-coding RNA (PGIN_LNC006165)". Lineage: Eukaryota; Viridiplantae; Streptophyta; Magnoliopsida; Apiales; Araliaceae. The record is from RNAcentral.